RNAcentral lists this ribosomal RNA (460 nucleotides) under uncultured bacterium. RNAcentral's name for it is "partial 16S ribosomal RNA". It matches the Rfam family "Bacterial small subunit ribosomal RNA", at positions 338 to 795 of the family's 1533-position model. The record is from RNAcentral.
CCUACGGGGGGCAGCAGUGAGGAAUAUUGGUCAAUGGACGAGAGUCUGAACCAGCCAAGUAGCGUGAAGGAUGACUGCCCUAUGGGUUGUAAACUUCUUUUAUAUGGGAAUAAAACGUUCCACGUGUGGGAUUUUGUAUGUACCAUAUGAAUAAGGAUCGGCUAACUCCGUGCCAGCAGCCGCGGUAAUACGGAGGAUCCGAGCGUUAUCCGGAUUUAUUGGGUUUAAAGGGAGCGUAGGUGGAUUGUUAAGUCAGUUGUGAAAGUUUGCGGCUCAAACGUAAAAUUGCAGUUGAAACUGGCAGUCUUGAGUACAGUAGAGGUGGGCGGAAUGCGUGGUGUAGCGGUGAAAUGCUUAGAUAUCACGAAGAACUCCGAUUGCGAAGGCAGUUCACUGGACUGCAACUGACACUGAGGCUCGAAAGUGUGGGUAUCAAACAGGAUUAGAUACCCUUGUAGUC